GAGAAGUCAGGCCAGAUUAAGCCAUAGUACGGAAAGAGCUAUGCUGCCUGUGAGCCCCGUCCAAGGACGUUAAAUGAAGUCAGGCCGAAAGCCACGGAUUGAGCAAGCCGUGCUGCCUGUGGCUCCAUCGUGGGGAUGUAAAAACCCGGGAGGCUGCAACCCAUGGAAGCUGUACGCAUGGGGUAGCAGA
This 190-nucleotide long non-coding RNA is filed under the name dengue virus type 1. Its description in RNAcentral is "dengue virus type I partial sfRNA1". The record is from RNAcentral. Lineage: Riboviria; Orthornavirae; Kitrinoviricota; Flasuviricetes; Amarillovirales; Flaviviridae.